This is a long non-coding RNA of Terrapene triunguis (Three-toed box turtle), 348 nucleotides long. RefSeq lists it as uncharacterized. NCBI's taxonomy places the organism in Eukaryota, Metazoa, Chordata, Testudines, Emydidae. The record is from RefSeq and is a predicted model, not a curated record. The transcript has 3 exons.
GUUAACAAGACAGACGCGCUGAGCCUUCUCUCAACAUUUGGGUCUCUGGCGAACAUUGCACAAGCGUCCAAGGAGGAUCUCUCCCUCUGCCCAGGCAUCGGGCCCCAGAAGGCCAAGAGGCUCUUUGACACCCUCCACGAGCCCUUUCUGAAGAUCCCCAAAUGAGCGGAGCACUUCCCCUACAGCACUGCCAGCAGCACAGACAAGCAGGAAUAAACAACCCCCUUUGCCCAGCAGGCCACGUGUCCCUGCCAGCACGCCGUAUGCUGUCUGCCAGGAAGCCAGGGCCUUGGGGGACACUCAGCAACUGUUUCUGCGAGUCUGGACUUUGACCAUAAAACAUGCUGU